This 372-nucleotide unclassified non-coding RNA is filed under the name soil metagenome. Its description in RNAcentral is "partial contains 5.8S ribosomal RNA, internal transcribed spacer 2, and large subunit ribosomal RNA". The stretch from base 1 to 121 matches the Rfam family "5.8S ribosomal RNA", at positions 35 to 154 of the family's 154-position model. The record is from RNAcentral.
GAUGAAGAACGUAGCGAAAUGCGAUAAGUAAUGCGAAUUGCAGAAUUCCAGUGAGUCAUCGAAUCUUUGAACGCACAUUGCGCCCUUUGGUAUUCCGAAGGGCAUGCCUGUUCGAGCGUCAUUAUCACCCCUCAAGCCCUCGGCUUGGUGUUGGACGGUUUGGUGGAGGCCCCCUCGGGGGCUCCUGCCCCUCCCAAAGACAAUGACGGCGGCCUCGUUGGACCCCCGGUACACUGAGUUCUUCACGGGACACGUAUCGGACACAUUGGUUACGGGACACGGUCUGCCUCCCCUCAGGGAGAAUCUUUCUAAGGUUGACCUCGGAUCAGGUAGGGAUACCCGCUGAACUUAAGCAUAUCAAUAAGCGGAGGA